CCUACGGGUGGCUGCAGUAGGGAAUUUUCGGCAAUGGGGGGAACCCUGACCGAGCAACGCCGCGUGAAGGCAGAAGGAAUUCGUUCUGGAAACUUCUGUUAUAAAGGAAGAAAGACGGAUGGAGGAAAUGACAUCCGAGUGACGGUACUUUAUGAGAAAGCCACGGCUAACUACGUGACAGCAGCGGCGGUAAUACGUAGGGGGGAAGCGUUAGCCGGAUUUAUUGGGCGUACAGAGGGAUCAGGCGGCAGCCAAGGUCUGUGGUGAAAGACUGAAGGUUAACUUCAGUAAGCCAUAGAGACCGGGCAGCUAGAGUGCAGGAGCGGAUCGUGGAAUUCCAUGUGUAGCGGUGAAAUGCGUAGAUAUAUGGAGGAACACCAGUGGCGAAGGCGACGAUCUGGCCUGCAACUGACGCUCAGUCCCGAAAGCGUGGGGAGCAAAUAGGAUUAGAUACCCUUGUAGUC
RNAcentral lists this ribosomal RNA (464 nucleotides) under uncultured bacterium. RNAcentral's name for it is "partial 16S ribosomal RNA". It matches the Rfam family "Bacterial small subunit ribosomal RNA", at positions 338 to 795 of the family's 1533-position model. The record is from RNAcentral.